This 468-nucleotide ribosomal RNA is filed under the name uncultured bacterium. RNAcentral's name for it is "partial 16S ribosomal RNA". It matches the Rfam family "Bacterial small subunit ribosomal RNA", at positions 28 to 507 of the family's 1533-position model. The record is from RNAcentral.
GACGAACGCUGGCGGCGUGCUUAACACAUGCAAGUCGAACGGAAAGGCCCUGCUUUUGUGGGGUGCUCGAGUGGCGAACGGGUGAGUAACACGUGAGUAACCUGCCCUUGAUUUUGGGAUAACUUCAGGAAACUGGGGCUAAUACCGGAUAGGAGCUCCUGCUGCAUGGUGGGGGUUGGAAAGUUUCGGCGGUUGGGGAUGGACUCGCGGCUUAUCAGCUUGUUGGUGGGGUAGUGGCUUACCAAGGCUUUGACGGGUAGCCGGCCUGAGAGGGUGACCGGCCACAUUGGGACUGAGAUACGGCCCAGACUCCUACGGGAGGCAGCAGUGGGGAAUAUUGCACAAUGGGCGGAAGCAUGAUGCAGCAACGCCGCGUGCGGGAUGACGGCCUUCGGGUUGUAAACCGCUUUCGCCUGUGACGAAGCGUGAGUGACGGUAAUGGGUAAAGAAGCACCGGCUAACUACGUG